CAGCCCCUCGAGUGGUGGGGAUGAUUAUUUGGCCUAAAGCGUCCGUAGCCGGCCGAGCAAGUCUUCCGUUAAAUCCAGCGUCUCAAGCGUUGGACCGCGGGAGAUACUACACGGCUAGAGAGUGGGAGAGGUCAGCGGUAUUCUGGGGGUAGGGGCGAAAUCCUUUGAUCCCCGGAGGACCACCAGUGGCGAAGGCUGCACACUAGAACACGUCUGACGGUCAGGGACGAAAGCUGGGGUAGCGAACCGGAUUAGAUACCCGAGUAGUCC
This 270-nucleotide ribosomal RNA is filed under the name uncultured archaeon. RNAcentral describes it as "partial 16S ribosomal RNA". It matches the Rfam family "Archaeal small subunit ribosomal RNA", at positions 477 to 747 of the family's 1478-position model. The record is from RNAcentral.